GGGUCGUUAGCGAAGCCUGGUUAUCGCGUCUCCCUGUCACGGAGAAGAUCACGGGUUCGAAUCCCGUACGACCCGCCA
This 78-nucleotide transfer RNA is filed under the name bacterium. RNAcentral's name for it is "tRNA-Asp". It matches the Rfam family "tRNA". Rfam says of the family: Transfer RNA (tRNA) molecules are approximately 80 nucleotides in length. The record is from RNAcentral.